This 253-nucleotide ribosomal RNA is filed under the name uncultured bacterium. Its description in RNAcentral is "partial 16S ribosomal RNA". It matches the Rfam family "Bacterial small subunit ribosomal RNA", at positions 524 to 776 of the family's 1533-position model. The record is from RNAcentral.
UACGUAGGGUGCAAGCGUUAAUCGGAAUUACUGGGCGUAAAGAGCUCGUAGGCGGUCUGUCGCGUCGGCUGUGAAAACCCGAGGCUCAACCUCGGGCCUGCAGUCGAUACGGGCAAACUAGAGUACUGCAGGGGAGACUGGAAUUCCUGGUGUAGCGGUGAAAUGCGCAGAUAUCAGGAGGAACACCGGUGGCGAAGGCGGGUCUCUGGGCAGUAACUGACGCUGAGGAGCGAAAGCGUGGGGAGCGAACAGG